RNAcentral lists this ribosomal RNA (492 nucleotides) under uncultured bacterium. RNAcentral's name for it is "partial 16S ribosomal RNA". It matches the Rfam family "Bacterial small subunit ribosomal RNA", at positions 29 to 507 of the family's 1533-position model. The record is from RNAcentral.
AGUGAACGCUGGCGGUAGGCCUAACACAUGCAAGUCGAACGGCAGCACAGUAAGAGCUUGCUCUUACGGGUGGCGAGUGGCGGACGGGUGAGGAAUACAUCGGAAUCUACUUUUUCGUGGGGGAUAACGUAGGGAAACUUACGCUAAUACCGCAUACGACCUACGGGUGAAAGCAGGGGAUCUUCGGACCUUGCGCGAUUGAAUGAGCCAAUGUCGGAUUAGCUAGUUGGCGGGGUAAAGGCCCACCAAGGCGACGAUCCGUAGCUGGUCUGAGAGGAUGAUCAGCCACACUGGAACUGAGACACGGUCCAGACUCCUACGGGAGGCAGCAGUGGGGAAUAUUGGACAAUGGGCGCAAGCCUGAUCCAGCCAUACCGCGUGGGUGAAGAAGGCCUUCGGGUUGUAAAGCCCUUUUGUUGGGAAAGGAAAGCAGCAGGUUAAUACCCCGCUGUUCUGACGGUACCCAAAGAAUAAGCACCGGCUAACUUCGUG